This 237-nucleotide long non-coding RNA is filed under the name Rattus norvegicus (Norway rat). RNAcentral describes it as "long non-coding RNA NONRATT007109". The record is from RNAcentral. Lineage: Eukaryota; Metazoa; Chordata; Mammalia; Rodentia; Muridae.
AUUACUACCAGAGGCAUUUUAUAGACUCUGAGCUGGAGUGCAACGACGUGGUCCUGUUCUGGCGAAUACAGCGCAUGCUCGCUAUCACUGCCAACACGCUGAGGCAGCAGCUGACAAACACCGAAGGCGGCUAGAGAAAAACGUUAAAGAGGUAUUAGAAGAUUUUGCUGAAGACGGCGAGAAGAAGGUUAAAUUGCUUACUGGCAAACGAGUUCAGCUGGCAGAAGAUCUCAGUAA